This 578-nucleotide small RNA is filed under the name Aspergillus pseudoglaucus. Its description in RNAcentral is "eukaryotic LSU rRNA". The stretch from base 174 to 327 matches the Rfam family "5.8S ribosomal RNA". Lineage: Eukaryota; Fungi; Ascomycota; Eurotiomycetes; Eurotiales; Aspergillaceae. The record is from RNAcentral.
GCCGUAGGUGAACCUGCGGAAGGAUCAUUACCGAGUGCGGGCCCUCUGGGUCCAACCUCCCAUCCGUUUCUAUCUGUACCCUGUUGCUUCGGCGUGGCCACGGCCCGCCGAAGACUAACAUUUGAACACUGUCUGAAGUUUGCAGUCUGAGUUUUUAGUUAAACAAUAAUUAAAACUUUCAACAACGGAUCUCUUGGUUCCGGCAUCGAUCAAGAACGCAGCGAAAUGCGAUAAUUAAUGUGAAUUGCAGAAUUCAGUGAAUCAUCGAGUCUUUGAAGGCACAUUGCGCCCCCUGGUAUUCCGGGGGGCAUGCCUGUCCGAGCGUCAUUGCUGCCCUCAAGCACGGCUUGUGUGUUGGGCUUCCGUCCCUGGUAACGGGGACGGGCCCAAAAGGCAGUGGCGGCACCAUGUCUGGUCCUCGAGCGUAUGGGGCUUUGUCACCCGCUCCCGUAGGUCCAGCUGGCAGCUAGCCUCGCAACCAAUCUUUUUAACCAGGUUGACCUCGGAUCAGGUAGGGAUACCCGCUGAACUUAAGCAUAUCAAUAAGCGGAGGAAAAGAAACCAACAGGGAUUGCCUC